This 1080-nucleotide long non-coding RNA is filed under the name Junco hyemalis (dark-eyed junco). RNAcentral's name for it is "lncRNA (ENSJHYG00000008442.1)". The record is from RNAcentral. Lineage: Eukaryota; Metazoa; Chordata; Aves; Passeriformes; Passerellidae.
AGGAGAUUAACAUCAAGGAGCCCACAUUUGCAAUAGCGGGUGGUGCUGGGGGGAGAGGCGAGGGGAAAAUAAAAUAAAAGCAACAAUCGGGUAAAUGCUCCUCUCUUCUCGCCACCAGCACCUUGCACAGGUCUGAAAUCGCUUGUUUUGCUUUGCUGUAUUGCGCUUGCCUGGGCUGUGGAGAGGGGAGGGGGAGGGGAGGAAGGGGGAGGUUUAACUUUUACUUGACAUUACCGGGUUAUUGUCACUUCCCCCGUGUUAAACCCCGGCGGUUUCCCCUCGCCCCCACCCCCUCCCCGGGCUCGGCUCCCUCCAGUUAACUUUGUUCAAAGGGCUGCAGCCGGGAGGGCUUGUCCGGGCCUGGGACACAGAUAGCGUAAAGUAAAUAACCACCACAAUUAGGCUGGGGCCGCGAGUUGAUCUUCGUGGCGAGAGAUCUGCUUAGUUAGCGUUUGCUGUUUCGGGGCGAUUGAAGGCCGCCGUGCCAAGGACACGCACACGCACACACACAGACACACACAGUCACUCUUACACACGCACGCUGGAUACAAAAGUCUGGAGGAUCUAGGGGAGAAUUGCAGCCGCCGGAUCAGUGCAGCAGCCGCGGCCAGAGCCAUGCGUGUCACGGCCUCCUGAGGGGGGAAAAGGAAGGAAGGGAGGAAGGAGGAAAAAACAAAAGAGAGAAAGAAAGAAGGAAAAAAGAAAAGAGGGAGAAAGGAAAGGAGAAGAAAGACGCGGGGUGGUGGAAAGUGUUUGCCUGCUUUUGUCUCGCAAUACAGUGAACUGGAAGAUGGAGAUGGAUGUUAAGGGAGUUUCUCCGUGCCCGGAGCCCAUCCCCCCGGCGGCGGGGUCUGGCGGCUGCCCGCACCAGCGCCCGCACCACCGCGAUGGGCAGCCCGCGGAGCCGGCCCCCGCCGCCGACAGCGGCCACCCGGAGCGGAGGCACGGCACUGAGAAAGAGGACAAAAAGAGACCUACAGCCAACAAGACUUCUGGUGCUCCUUCCUACAGCAGAUGGUCCAGUUCACAGCCCCAUCAGGUAAUAUGCCCUUGUCAGAAAGGAUAUGCAGCUCAGGUUGA